Molecule: ribosomal RNA, 2386 nt
Filed under: marine metagenome
Description: bacterial LSU rRNA
Rfam family: Archaeal large subunit ribosomal RNA
Source: RNAcentral
GUCCGAUAGCGCACUAGUACCGCGAGGGAAAGCUGAAAAGUACUCUUAACAGAGGGUUAAAAGACUUGAAAUCUAACAGUUACAGAUGGUUACUGAUUUAUUCACUUUUGUGAAAUAGAUUUGUAACGUACGUUUUGAAGAACGGGCCAAGGAGUUUAUUUAUAUGGCAAGGCUAACUUUUUUAAAGGUAACCGAAGCGAAAGCAAGUAUGAAAAUGCUAUAGUCAUAUAGGUAAGACCUGAAGCCAGGUGAUCUAUUCAUGGGCAAGGUGAAGUCUUUCGAAAGAAGGAUGGAGGCCUGAACCGUUGUUGUGUACAUGCACUUGGAUGACCUGUGAAUAGGGGUGAAAAGCCUAUCUAACUUGGCGAUGGCUGGUUCCUGCUGAAAUAUGCCUUCGUAUAGUCUUGUUUUGCUUGUUAACGGUGUAAAGUACGGAUAGAAUUUGCAGGGGCUAAUGCUUACGGAAUUCUUUCCAACUCAGAAGCUGUUAACUGCUUAUGACAAGAAACAGGGGCAGUAUGUAAGAUACUGUUCCGAGAGUGGAACAACACAGACCAAAGUUAAGGUCCUAAAAUGUAUAUUAAGUGUAUCGAAAGGUGUCUUGAACCUAAGACACUAGGGAUGUAAGCUUAGAAGCAGCUAUCAUUUAAAGAAAGCGUAACAGCUCACCUAUUGAGGUUCAGGGCCCUGAAAAUGGACAGGGCUAAAUAUACUACCGAUACUUUGGAUAUCUCCUUUAGGAGAUUAUGGUAAGCAGGCGUGGUUUUUGUACAGAAGGUUUUGCGAGAGCAAGGCUGGAACGAAAACUAAUGAGAAUCUUGGUAAUAGUAGGAUGUGAUUUUCCUGAGAAUGGAAAAUGUCGAAAGAGCAAGGUUUCCUUGGCAAUAUAUGUUAGCCAAGGGUUAGUCAGCACCUAAGUCGCCCCUUAACUGAAGGCGACGAUGGACAACAAGUUAAUAUUCUUGUACUAAUUAAAUUUUUUGUAUUUAAUUGCUUUCGGAUAAGCGAGCACUCGAAAGAGUGUUUUCAUAAAGAAAUUUGUCGAGGGUAAUCCUUAGACGCAAAUGAACUUAUGGAACAAAAUCUCUGAUUCCAAGAGCCAGUGAAAAGUUAUAUGCUUAACGGAUUUAAUUAGCUGUACCCACAACCGGCACUGGUGCUCUAGCUUAAUAGGCUAAGACAUGAAAGGUAAAACCGAUUAAGGGAAUUCGGCAAAUUGGCCCUGUAGCUUCGGCUGAAGGGGUGUCUAUUUUUGUUUCACAGUUAAAUGUAAAGCAUUAAUAGAUCUCAGUAACAAGGAUGGCCCGACUGUUUACCAAAAACGUAGCCAAGUGCUAAUCUGAAAAGACUUGUAUACUUGGUGAGACCUGCCCAGUCGUGGUGUGUCAAACUCCUUUUCAAGGGAGCUAAGCCCCAUGAAACGGCGGGGGUAACUAUGACCCUCUUAAGGUAGCGUAAUACCUUGUCGUAUGAAUUGCGACUUGCAUGAAUGGUUUAACGAGGUUGUCGCUGUCCCUAAUCGGAGCCUUCUGAAAAUACCUCGUGGUGAAAAGGCCACGGACGCCUAGUGGGAAGCUAAGACCUUGUGGAACUUUACUGCAACUUGUUGUUGUGAUUUUAUUAAAAAUGCAUAGAAUAAGUAGGAGUGUUGAAGUUAUCAUUUCGGUGAUAAUGGAGCGACUGUGUAAUACUACUCAUCCUUGAUAAAGUUGCUUACUCUUUAGAGGACAGCAACAGGCGGGCAGUUUGACUGGGGCGGUGCCCUGUCGAAAAGAUAUCGAUAGGACCCAAAGACAAGCUCAUCCAGCUUGGAAAUCUGGAGUUGAGUGCGAAGGCAAAAGCUUGUCUAACUGUAUUCUGAACAGCAAAGAAUGCAGAGGUGAAAGCCGGGCUUAGUUAACCCACAUGCUCUUUUAAUAGGAGCUGUGUCUGAUAGAAAAGUUACCCCAAGGAUAACAGGCUUGUCGCGCCCGAUAGUCCGAAUUGACGGCGCGGUUUGGUACAUCGCUGUCGGCUCUCCCUAUCCUGCGCGUGCAGAAGCGUGCAAGGGUGUCGGAGUUCACGCAUUAAAAGGGAUCGUUAGCUGGGUUAAGAACGUCGUGAGACAGUUUGUAUGAUAUCUACUAGGUGUGUUAUUGUCUGAGUGGAACGAGCUCGUAGUACGAGAGGAACCAAGUUCGGGUGCCGCUGGUGAGCAGUUGUUAUGAGCAGGCUGCAUAGCUACGCACUAAACGAAUAAGAGCUGAAAGCAUCUAAGCUCGAAGUCGUCCGCAAAACGAGACAAUUAAAGCCGUCAUAGAAGAUGACGUUGAUAGAGUUGCUGUGUAAGAUUCAAGCUUCGGCGAGAAUUUCAGCAGACAACUACUAAAAGCUUCACUUAUGUUUU